GUGGGGAAUUUUGCGCAAUGGGCGAAAGCCUGACGCAGCGACGCCGCGUGUGCGAUGAAGGCCUUUGGGUCGUAAAGCACUGUCGGUCGGGACGAAAUCUCAUACGAUAACACCGUAUGAGUUUGACGGUACCGGCAAAGGAAGCACCGGCUAACUCUGUGCCAGCAGCCGCGGUAAUACAGAGGGUGCAAACGUUGCUCGGAAUUAUUGGGCGUAAAGCGCGUGUAGGCGGCCUCGUAAGUCGACUGUGAAAGCCCUUGGCUCAACCAAGGAAGUGCAGUCGAAACUGCGAGACUAGAGUGCUGAAGAGGAUAGCGGAAUGGCCAGUGUAGAGGUGAAAUUCGUAGAUAUUGGCUAGAACACCGGUGGCGAAGGCGGCUAUCUGGGAAGUUACUGACGCUGAGACGCGAAAGCGUGGGGAGCAAACAGGAUUAGAAACCCCAGUAGUCC
RNAcentral lists this ribosomal RNA (450 nucleotides) under uncultured bacterium. RNAcentral describes it as "bacterial SSU rRNA". It matches the Rfam family "Bacterial small subunit ribosomal RNA", at positions 354 to 796 of the family's 1533-position model. The record is from RNAcentral.